GUGGACAAUUUUUGUCACUAAUAUACAUCGAGAAUUUCUGAUAAAUAGAUGGCCAAAAAUGUUUCGGAUUUUAGUUUACAAUAAAACGAUUGGGGUCCAGUUGCCUAAGGUGUGAUGACAGAACUAUUGGUCGGUUAUCAUGGUCCUCGAUAAGAUCGAAUGGUCCAAGCACAGCGAUGACCGCAAAAGCGAGGGAACAAUAAGAUUUUAUUCCAAUCUUUAUGCGAUGCAAAAUGCGCUCCACCAUGUAGUGGGAGGCUCCUAUGUACAAAAUUCGCAAUGCAGAGCGAGUUAGCUGGAGAGCCAUUUUUGUGUGCUUGAGGGGCCUGUCUAUAGUUUCUUCUUGUGUGGUUCCUUCUUGGCUUCCGUGUCCUUCAAUUUCCUUCUUUGUCUCUCCUUCGUCUUCGAAGUAGAAGAAAAUUUUGUGCACGAGUAUUUCAGAAAUACAAUAACUACAUAUGCCCCGAAAAUGAUUAAUAGUUAACUGGGUUUGACAUUAAAUUCCAGAGCUUCUUUUCAAUAUUUGAACUUUUAAGAUACGUAAUUCAUUUUGGGAAUAGCUGGUUUCCAAACUUUUUUUUUAAAUACUCUACAAAAUUGUACAGACUUUCAUUUGGAUUACAGGUCUUGAGGCAGUUGGAUUCUGAGGGACAAUGACAGUUAGUGUUCUGGUUUGAGAUGGAGUGUAGAAUAGCAGCGUUCAACUAAAGUAGAGCUUUCGUUGACUGCUGUCAUUAUACUCAAAGAUGGAGCUCUGACUUGAACCUGUCAGUGUGGCCCAGUGUUCAACUGCCUGCAGGACCUGUGAUCUUUACAUAUAUAACAAUGGUUGACAAAAUGUUCUUCUGAUUUUUUUCUGCCAUCAAACCAAACUCUUCCUAACAAGAUUUUUUGAUUAAUUCUGUUUUUCAUCUUGAAAAAUUCAAGACAAAAAAACUGUAUUUUUUUAAUGUUUAUUUUUCGUUUUCCCAUAUGACUUGGGUAUACUACACCUUGUGUUGCAGCACUUUGAAGUUCUGAAAAGCUUAUGAAUGCAGCUAUCGAUUGGUUUCUAAAAACUGUAUAGCUGAUGCUUACCGUCUUUGAAAUAUGAAGAUUUCAAAUGGAGACAGCAGGCUUCAUCUAUAAAGUUUUUAAAGCCCAUUGAUAGCUGCGUUUCUUGGCUUUUCAGAACUACAAGGCGCUUCAAAACAAGGUGUAUUACUCUCAAGUAAUAUGGGAAAAUGCAAGCUUAUCUCUGAUAAAUUCAAUUGGUUUUCAAUUCUUCAAAAGAGUAACUUUAACUUUAAAUGGAAUGGCAUUUUAUUUCCUCAACGAUUGUAUUGUAUCAGCUGUGGGAAUAUGUUAGCAUAAAGUCUUAGGAGCAUUUACAGUUGGUGUUGGAGUAAAAGAUGGAGAGAAAAAUCUCAGCACGCACCCAAAGACAAUGCUUUGGUUUUCAGUUGGAGUUUUACUCUCUACAGCUAACAGCAACACUGACUGUCAGUGCUCUACUGCUUCUAUGCGUUUCCAAGACCGGUACUCCAUCCCCAUUUAUGGGUAGUCAUUCUACUCGAUGGCUGUAACCUUAACAAUAUGAGUAUUGGUGUUGGCUCAAGUAAUGGAAACUCUUGGGGUGGAGUCGAUGGUAUUUGAACAGUAAGUGUUGGCGUCGGAGUUGGAGAGAAGAAUCGCACUGAGUAAUUAAAACGAAAACGUUUUCCAUUGCUUGGGGCCAUUUUACUCUCCACCUUUGACUGCACCGCUAACUGUUCAUCUACCAUAAACUCCCACUUCCUUCUCUGGACUUGAGUCCUUCAUGCAUACAAGCGCACUCCUAUAUUGAGUUGGUAGCACAGGCCUUGGGGCAGUCAAGAUUCUAGGUACCACCGAUAGAUAGUGUUUGAGUUUGAGGUGGAGAGAGGAGUUUCACCAUGCAACAGAAGCGCGUGCACGCUUUGGUUGCUUGAUGAAGCUCAUCUAUCCAUCUUUGACUUGAACACUAGCUAUCCGUGUUGCUCAGAAUCUUGACUCCUCUAAGGACUUAUGUAUGCUUCCAAUCAAUGUCAGACGUUUUGGUUCAUUUGUAUUGGUUCGGUCAUAAGUCGAUGCCUAUAUUUUCAUAAUUGACUACGAGUAUUUAUCAGACUCUAUAGUCCUUAGUCCAACCAAUACCACCCCACCACCAUUUUCGAAUCCGCUGGAUAAGGUUCAAGAGGGCACCAAAGAGACCACAGACAGACCUCUCUGCGCAAGGGCUCGUUGCUCGGGCGCUCAGCUGCCACGAAAAAAUGCCAAGGAGAAGGGCGUAAUGCAGCAAAACUCGUCAAAGUCAAAUUGAAUAAACCAGUAUACAAACUCCUCUAUUCUGUUCGAUUCUAUUCUUUACUUCAUAUAUUUUAUUUUUGAUAAUAAAAGUGUCCAAAAUUAAGUCUCCGCACUGUUGGCUACAACGUUUUUCUUAAGAUUUAUUUAAAUAUAUAAAAUAGAGCUUACAAAAGAUGUAAUAUCUAAGGUAUAUAUUAAGUUUAGAAAUAAUGAAAUGAUCCUGCAAAUAGCCACAGCAAAUAUGCAGAGAGCGAGAGAGGGAGAGAGAGAGAGAGACAGAGAGAGAGUAAGUAAUAAGUUAUUUACGGGCAGUACGGAUACCAUUCUGGAUAAUAUCUAUACAGAGAAAUGCCCAAAGCACUCAAAUCUUUAAGCAGAAAAGUCAUCACACAGCUACAGAAGUAGUGGUGCUGCAUGAGAAGAUGGGUUGAUGUCUGUGGUGCAACUCGCUUGGGAAUAGAGAACAACAGAAUGGUAUGCCAAAAGGAUGCACUUGCGAUGUAACUUAUAUUGCUCUCUUUGACAGUUCUCUUCGCUACCGAUGAUAUUUAGCUCACCAAUCACGGCUCUGAAUACUAUUAAAUGCUUCUAUUGGAUCGACCAUGCCCACUGUAACAGAUAAAGCUCAAUUACAUUUAUGCUGUAAAGUUUAUGUUAUAUGCAGAAGAACCAUAUAUUUAUGUAUAUAUUACAUUACUAUGUAGAGUAUACCGGUUUACCAGUUCCUUAUUGGGGGCUGAUCGAUCCUUUUGAAAGUCCUUUUCGACCAACAUUCAUUGAUCAGCCCCAUAGACCUAUAACUUAUAUAGCUAUAAACUUAAUGUGAAAAUUUGAUUGUGAAUGAAUACCAUAGGGUAAUGGUGAAAAGAAAAAACUAUAUUUACCUACAAGUAUAUUAAAUGUUUUAUGUGGAAACUG
Drosophila guanche is the source of this 3225-nucleotide long non-coding RNA. RefSeq lists it as uncharacterized. Lineage: Eukaryota; Metazoa; Arthropoda; Insecta; Diptera; Drosophilidae. The record is from RefSeq and is a predicted model, not a curated record. The transcript has 3 exons.